CCCGCCAGGGGCACAGCCGGGUAGCCGCGUAUGGAUGUGAUAAACGCUGAAGGCAUCUAAGCGUGAAACACACUUCAAGAUUAGAUAUCCCAUAACGAAAGUUAGUAAGGUCACUUGCAGACUACAAGUUGAUAGGCCACAGGUGGAAGUGCAGAAAUGCAUGCAGCUGAGUGGUACUAAUAGACCGAGGGCUUGAACCUA
This 201-nucleotide ribosomal RNA is filed under the name Clostridia bacterium. RNAcentral describes it as "partial 23S ribosomal RNA". It matches the Rfam family "Bacterial large subunit ribosomal RNA", at positions 2725 to 2925 of the family's 2925-position model. The record is from RNAcentral. Lineage: Bacteria; Bacillati; Bacillota; Clostridia.